CUCUUGGAGUCCCUUCUUCUGUGGUGUUUGCUUUCACAGGCACCAGGAGUACUGUGUUCCCUGAAUUUUAUCCCUACAGGAAAAAAAGUAAUUGAUAAACUACAUGAAACCAUCAGUAUCUAAAUGUCACUCUAUUUUCAAUAGGCACUCAAGAAAGAGCGCUGUUUUGUCCAGUGGAAGAUUCUCUAGUUCAUUUCUUUUUUUUUUUUUUUUCACGUCAGAUGGGUAAUGUGCCAAUGUCGUAACAAGGUUCAAAGGAGGCACAUGUCAUGCAUGGAGCAUGAACACCCAGUCAUCACGCUUAUGUACCUGAGGAUCUUUCGACUUCGUUUCGAACGAUGAAAUGGGAUGUGAAGCAGGAACAUUUGCUCCUCUGCAGUGUGCCGCUCUGCCUUGGAGCCAGCUAAUUAUGGGCUGAAACCUCUACAAACUUAAACUUGUGAAACAGGAAGUGAAGAAGAGUGCUGUGCUGGAGGAAAAAACAAAAUUAAAAACCUUUGGAAGAGCUUUUGCAUGAAUAGAAUAAUAUCAAGAAAGGAGGGAUAAGUUUCUGUCCGUACAUCACAUGGAAGCCCCUUAGGCAUUUUGGAGCUCUGCCCUAUAGGAAAUGAUGAUGCUUAGCAAGUGACGCCAGGACCAAGAUGCUUGCUGGAUGUAUUGUCAGUAUCCAGCAAAGCUUGUGGUGCUUCCAGGGAACCCAGCCAGAAACCGUAACCUGAUUCAGCAUCAGAUAAACUUUGGAAACAGCACUGAGGAAAGGUGCUUGUGCUGCUGGACUAAACUUCCACCGCUACCAUAUGACUUCUGGCUCUUCCCUAAAGUCAAAUGACCAAGACAGUUUUCCAGAAAGAAAGAGUCUGCAAAGUUGGAGCAGUGGAGAUCUUGGUUACUGAAAGGAUUGACAUUAAAAAGAAGCCAAGUACCUUACAUCAGGACGAUAGAAAAGAUAUCUUGAAGGCAUGGAGAAAUCAGUAAGACACUACUCAUCAAAAAUUUAAGGGUGCAAAAGUGAAAGACUUUGCUUUAAGAAGAGACCCCCAAGGCAACAAGCUCAAGAAAGGCUUCCAAGGAAAUUAUUUUUCUGUGAUUCAUUUCACAGUACUCAGCUAUGCCCCAGGUUCUCAGGAACUCGGAUGAAGCCGUGAAGCAAAAGAGUCCAGUUACUGCUGGAACCAGAGGCAGAUCUUGGUAUCAUCAAUUUAGAGCUGGUUUCACAGUCGUGCAGAAUGUAAGAGUUGUAGUCUCAGAAAGGCUUCCACCCAAUUUCAGAAAAGGCCUUGGAGGUCAGGGAGUGUGCAGUGUGCUUAGAAAGGGGAGUAUGUGAAGCUGUGAGAAUGAAGCCAAAAGUUCGGUGGCGACCCCAAGAAGUUGGAGAACCAUGUGUUGGGAGCAUGGAACAUCUGAAGAAAGCCAUAUGGAGUGAGCAAAUCCAGCCCAAGAGGGAAGCCGUGCAGGCUAAAGCAACUGGCAAUGCCGUAGGGGCAGGGAUGUCCAAGCCAUUUAUAGCUCAAAUACUUGACCCACAGCAUUCAAUGUUUGCCUGCUUGGCUUUGGUUUGGUUUCUUUCUGGCCGGUUUCUUCCUUUUGGGAUGGAAAUUUUUACCUUGUGCCAUUGUACAUCACCCAUGUUUACCUUUCUGAUUUUUAUAGGAGAUCACAGAUAAGAGGUUGCUUUAAGCCUCAGAGGAUCCUCUGGACAUGACUUUUCAGCAAUCUAAAACUGCUCAGACUUUGCAACUCUUAGAUACUAAACCAUUUCACGUAAAGAAAUGCACACGAGUCAUUUGGGUGUAGGACAAAAUGUUCAGGCUUAUAUUUAGACGUCCCAACAAUGAGACAGUGACCAUGACAUUCCCAAUGUCAAAAAGAGUCUUAAAGGAAAACCAAAGGAUUGAAACUUUCAGAGAAUCACUAAAAAUCUAGGCGUGAAGAAGCAAUGUAUUAAAACACUGACCUUUCCC
Cavia porcellus (domestic guinea pig) is the source of this 1961-nucleotide long non-coding RNA. RefSeq lists it as uncharacterized. The record is from RefSeq and is a predicted model, not a curated record. The transcript has 5 exons. NCBI's taxonomy places the organism in Eukaryota, Metazoa, Chordata, Mammalia, Rodentia, Caviidae.